Molecule: long non-coding RNA, 228 nt
Filed under: Amborella trichopoda
Lineage: Eukaryota; Viridiplantae; Streptophyta; Magnoliopsida; Amborellales; Amborellaceae
Description: long non-coding RNA (ATRI_LNC001219)
Source: RNAcentral
UGUAAAGAUCAUCAAAGAAAGAGAAAACUAUUGAUUACUUGACUCACUUGAAGCUUCAGUUCGAGAACGAGCAGAUCAUUGGACAAUAUUCCUGCAUAUAGUUAGGUAUAUGGGCCCCUAUAUGCCCAUUGGUAGUGACAUUAUCCAUUUAUCCAUAUAUUUUCCUUUUAGAUAUGUGAAUGUUAAGCUUCAAGGCCCGAACCAAGGGUGUACUACCUUGCAUAUAGG